GAUGUUUCUGCAGAAGUUUUCCCCCUUGGUCGGUGGCGGAGCUGCUGAGCGCGAUAGUAGCAGCUCCGGCGGCAGCAACAUUGACUACGAGGAAUGGCGGCGGCUGCCGCAGGACCUGCAGCAUCCCAGAGGAAGUCGUGCAGUUUCUAGACAAGAAGCAUCCAAACCACUAUCAAGUCUACAAUCUAUGCAUCUUAUAAAAUCUGCUUUAGGAGACAGAACUGGGCUUGAAGCCUUGUCUUUCAAAGACAAAAUCCAUGCAAGACCAAGUGUUGGAGCAGGCGAUGGAUAUGAUCUAAAAGUCAAAAUAGUGAUGGAGAAAAAGGUUGUCUUUUCCUGUACUUACUUAAGAAAUUGUUAGGUAUUUCAUGACACUGAAACAGAGCAAUAAUUGAUGUAUUCAACAGUCCACCUCUGUAUGAUGAUGUGAAAGUGCAAUUUUUCUCUUUG
Molecule: long non-coding RNA, 450 nt
Filed under: Homo sapiens (human)
Lineage: Eukaryota; Metazoa; Chordata; Mammalia; Primates; Hominidae
Description: non-protein coding lnc-ELF1-2:4
Source: RNAcentral